Molecule: non-coding RNA, 105 nt
Organism: Arvicanthis niloticus (Nile rat)
Lineage: Eukaryota; Metazoa; Chordata; Mammalia; Rodentia; Muridae
Source: RefSeq, a predicted model, not a curated record
UGCUUGCUUCAGCAGCAGUGGACUGAAAUUGGAACAAUGGAGAGAAGAUUAGCAUGGCUCCUGUGCAAAGAUAACAAGAAAAUUCAUGAAGCGUUGCGUACGUUU